Molecule: ribosomal RNA, 253 nt
Filed under: uncultured bacterium
Lineage: Bacteria
Description: partial 16S ribosomal RNA
Rfam family: Bacterial small subunit ribosomal RNA
Source: RNAcentral
UACAGGGGGGGCAAGCGUUGUUCGGAAUUACUGGGCGUAAAGGGCCAGUAGGCGGCCAACUAAGUCCGACGUGAAAUCCCAAAGCUUAACUUUGGAACUGCGUCGGAUACUGGAUGGCUUGAAUUCGGGAGAGGGAUGCAGAAUUCCAGGUGUAGCGGUGAAAUGCGUAGAUAUCGAGAGGAACACCUGCGGCGAAGGCGGGUUGCUGGGCCGACACUGACGCUGAUGCGCGAAAGCCAGGGGAGCGAACGGG